UAGGGAAUCUUCCACAAUGGGCGCAAGCCUGAUGGAGCAACACCGCGUGAGUGAGGAAGGGUUUCGGCUCGUAAAGCUCUGUUGUUAAAGAAGAACACGUAUGAGAGUAACUGUUCAUACGUUGACGGUAUUUAACCAGAAAGUCACGGCUAACUACGUGCCAGCAGCCGCGGUAAUACGUAGGUGGCAAGCGUUAUCCGGAUUUAUUGGGCGUAAAGAGAGUGCAGGCGGUUUUCUAAGUCUGAUGUGAAAGCCUUCGGCUUAACCGGAGAAGUGCAUCGGAAACUGGAUAACUUGAGUGCAGAAGAGGGUAGUGGAACUCCAUGUGUAGCGGUGGAAUGCGUAGAUAUAUGGAAGAACACCAGUGGCGAAGGCGGCUACCUGGUCUGCAACUGACGCUGAGACUCGAAAGCAUGGGUAGCGAACAGGAUUAGAUACCCUGGUAGUCCAUGCCGUAAACGAUGAGUGCUAGGUGUUGGAGGGUUUCCGCCCUUCAGUGCCGGAGCUAACGCAUUAAGCACUCCGCCUGGGGAGUACGACCGCAAGGUU
Molecule: ribosomal RNA, 549 nt
Filed under: uncultured bacterium
Lineage: Bacteria
Description: bacterial SSU rRNA
Rfam family: Bacterial small subunit ribosomal RNA
Source: RNAcentral